This 433-nucleotide ribosomal RNA is filed under the name uncultured bacterium. RNAcentral's name for it is "partial 16S ribosomal RNA". It matches the Rfam family "Bacterial small subunit ribosomal RNA", at positions 29 to 507 of the family's 1533-position model. The record is from RNAcentral.
AACGAACGCUGGCGGCAUGCCUAACACAUGCAAGUCGAACGAGACCUUCGGGUCUAGUGGCGCACGGGUGCGUAACGCGUGGGAACCUGCCCUUAGGUUCGGAAUAACUCCCCGAAAGGGGUGCUAAUACCGGAUAAUGUCUUCCGACCAAAGAUUUAUCGCCUUUGGAUGGGCCCGCGUUGGAUUAGCUAGUUGGUAGGGUAAAAGCCUACCAAGGCGACGAUCCAUAGCUGGUCUGAGAGGAUGAUCAGCCACACUGGGACUGAGACACGGCCCAGAAUCCUACGGGAGGCAGCAGUGGGGAAUAUUGGACAAUGGGCGAAAGCCUGAUCCAGCAAUGCCGCGUGAGUGAUGAAGGCCUUAGGGUUGUAAAGCUCUUUUAACCGGGAUGAUAAUGACAGUACCGGGAGAAUAAGCUCCGGCUAACUACGUG